UGGGGAAUAUUGGACAAUGGGCGAAAGCCUGAUCCAGCCAUGCCGCGUGUGUGAAGAAGGUCUUCGGAUUGUAAAGCACUUUAAGUUGGGAGGAAGGGCAGUUACCUAAUACGUAAUUGUUUUGACGUUACCGACAGAAUAAGCACCGGCUAACUCUGUGCCAGCAGCCGCGGUAAUACAGAGGGUGCAAGCGUUAAUCGGAAUUACUGGGCGUAAAGCGCGCGUAGGUGGUUUGUUAAGUUGGAUGUGAAAUCCCCGGGCUCAACCUGGGAACUGCAUCCAAAACUGGCAAGCUAGAGUAUGGUAGAGGGUGGUGGAAUUUCCUGUGUAGCGGUGAAAUGCGUAGAUAUAGGAAGGAACACCAGUGGCGAAGGCGACCACCUGGACUGAUACUGACAC
Molecule: ribosomal RNA, 399 nt
Filed under: uncultured bacterium
Lineage: Bacteria
Description: bacterial SSU rRNA
Rfam family: Bacterial small subunit ribosomal RNA
Source: RNAcentral